UGACAUUGAUUUAGCUUAGUGGCGAACGGGUGAGUAACACGUGAGGAACCUGCCUUUCAGAGGGGGACAACAGUUGGAAACGACUGCUAAUACCGCAUAAGACCACGAUACGGCAUCGUAUUGAGGUCAAAGGAGCAAUCCGCUGAAAGAUGGCCUCGCGUCCGAUUAGCUGGAUGGUGAGGUAACGGCCCACCAUGGCGACGAUCGGUAGCCGGACUGAGAGGUUGAUCGGCCACAUUGGGACUGAGACACGGCCCAGACUCC
Molecule: ribosomal RNA, 264 nt
Filed under: uncultured Oscillospiraceae bacterium
Lineage: Bacteria; Bacillati; Bacillota; Clostridia; Eubacteriales; Oscillospiraceae
Description: partial 16S ribosomal RNA
Rfam family: Bacterial small subunit ribosomal RNA
Source: RNAcentral